RNAcentral lists this unclassified non-coding RNA (271 nucleotides) under Glomus sp. Its description in RNAcentral is "partial contains 5.8S ribosomal RNA and internal transcribed spacer 2". The stretch from base 1 to 71 matches the Rfam family "5.8S ribosomal RNA", at positions 84 to 154 of the family's 154-position model. Lineage: Eukaryota; Fungi; Glomeromycota; Glomeromycetes; Glomerales; Glomeraceae. The record is from RNAcentral.
GUGAAUCAUCGAAUUUUUGAACGCAAAUUGCACUCUCUGGUAUUCCGGAAAGUAUGCCUGUUUGAGGGUCAGUUAAAUAAAAAUCGGUGUUGUUGCUGCCUUUCGUGGUGAAGCGUCGGCAUUGGGUCGUUAUAACUUGGGUUAAGUGAUUUAAAAUUUUUGCAUGAUUUUCGAACGUAUUUAAAUCGCUUACGUAUGUUUGAGAUAUUGAAUGCAUAUUAGGUUAGGUCAUUCAAAUGCUUGGUGCAUAUAAUUUAUCACUAAAUGACAU